CUUAAAUUGAAGAGUUUGAUCAUGGCUCAGAUUGAACGCUGGCGGCAGGCCUAACACAUGCAAGUCGAGCGGAAACGAGUUAUCUGAACCUUCGGGGAACGAUAACGGCGUCGAGCGGCGGACGGGUG
RNAcentral lists this ribosomal RNA (128 nucleotides) under Vibrio alginolyticus. RNAcentral describes it as "partial 16S ribosomal RNA". It matches the Rfam family "Bacterial small subunit ribosomal RNA", at positions 1 to 108 of the family's 1533-position model. RNAcentral also lists the same sequence under 1 other name. The record is from RNAcentral. Lineage: Bacteria; Pseudomonadati; Pseudomonadota; Gammaproteobacteria; Vibrionales; Vibrionaceae.